Oryzias melastigma (Indian medaka) is the source of this 380-nucleotide long non-coding RNA. RefSeq lists it as uncharacterized. The transcript has 3 exons. The record is from RefSeq and is a predicted model, not a curated record. Lineage: Eukaryota; Metazoa; Chordata; Actinopteri; Beloniformes; Adrianichthyidae.
CACAAACCACCACGACUGACCCAACCUGUUCCACCUCACCACAGCUCCAGGCUCAUGAGCAGGAAUCUUCCAGCUCCUGAACCUGCAGGAACAUUCAUCAGAGGGAUCAGCAUCAGAGCUGCUGGUGAUGAAAACACAUCUCCUCUGGAGCACGUGGAGGAACCACACAAGGCUCCUCCCCCUCAUGCUGCUCACGCAUCCUUUUGACGGGGGUCAGCCAGCGCGGGGGAGUCUCGAGAGGUCUCGGCGGAGUUAGCUGAGGACCAUGGUCCAUGUCCAUCCUCCCCACUCCCAGACGUGCCCUGUUCUCUGCCAGGACCCCAUCAGGAUCAACCUUUCGUUCAGACAUUUCUUCAAAAAAAUAAACACUUUCCUGCCAU